GCGCUUCCGAGACGGCGCCUGCAUCACACGGACAUGCCAUCGGCCAAGCCCCGAAUCAAAACCGGGCCCGGGAAGCUGUGGUUGUUGCAGGCUCAUCACUACGGAUCCAUUCAGUGAGGCCCAAGCUCCUUCCCGUGGUUUUCAUUCUUCCUGAACGCAUCUGCCAUCCCCCCGCCAGGCCACACUGAGUGCCACGGGCAGGGCGCUCCGGCCAAACUCACCGGGCUGUUCCCAGUGGCUGCCACGCUGACUGGUCCCCAAGCCUGGACCACAUUCACCACAGAAUAAAAACGUAAGGCCUGCCACGUGCUGGCGGGCUGCGGGGCCGGAGGGAGGGAGGCCAGGACCCUGUAGAAACAGGGCUCCGGUUUUACAAGAGGAAAGUUCCGGACGUGGUGGGGGUGACGGAGCCGGGCAGUGUGAACGCACCUCAUGCCACUGAGCUGGGCACUGGGACAUGUCAGGAUGGUUGGUUUGUGUGUUUUUACCACAAUUAAAAACAAAUGUGUAUGGAUAUUUAGGGAGAAAGCAGAAGGGAGACAGAGACACGUGGGUCUGUUGUUCCACUUGUGGAUGCUUUCCUGGUUGCUUCUUGUAUGCGCCCUGACCGGGGCUGGAACCCACGGCUCCCGCAGGUUCCUGCCACGCGUCUUCCUCUUGUCUUGCCUCCUGACCUGCCCGCCCCGGACGCGGGGCACAGCUCACUGUCAGAGCAGCACAUGGAGGGUCGCGGGGCUGAGGCCCAGGAGCCGGAGGAACUGUUCUCGUCCCUCUCCACCCCUCUCCACACUCCCCCGACAUCUGUUCCUUGUCUGGCGCCGGGGGCUCGGUUACAGACGGAGACGUUUCUCAGAGGAAAGGCAUGUGGCUGAGACACACCUGCCGCCCGGUGUCUGUCAGCGUCACUGCCUCCGGGCCCGAGAGCCUCGCCAGAGAGGGAGCAGCUGUUCUCACGGGCAGCGAGCUGCCUGGAGCACAGACACCUCCUCCUGACCCAGCUGAGAUGACAGGGCGGCAGCGAUCCGUGGGCGCCCCGGCCUUCUGGGCGUUCCGUGGCCCCAGGGCAGAGCUUGGAAUUGGAAACCAGAAGACUCCCGUGAAAUCCAGGCCUAACCUCUCUGUUCGUGAAUUGCCUAAUUUUAGGCAAGUGCUCCCUCUCUGAGCUUCUACCGUUUUUAUCUAUAAAACAAGUAAAACAGUGACACAGUGGUGUGUGGCGGUCGGACCUGCUGACAGUCAUUGGCCUGGAGACGAGAGCGUCGCCCGCUCCCUCCUCCACGACUGGAUGUAGCCGGGCAAACUAGGGAGAGCCUGCACCCACAUGGUGUCACAGUGGCCUUCGGACGGUCCCUCUGCUUCCUCGACAGCAGAGCUGGACAUCCCAGUAGGUGCUGUGCUGUGUGAGUUGUUCAGGCAAGAGAGACGGUGUGAACUCUGAGCAUCGGGCCGGUUUAAAGCCCCCGCAGCCACCGCCCUGGCCUCCACCGAAAGCCUGGGACUGAGUCCGAUGGAUACCCAGGCCUGAUGCGCCCCGAGAGCCUGCGCUGGGUCCUUUUAAGCCGAUUGGUUCGGGCUCGGAGGGUGACUCAGAUUUCUCGCCAGGUUGGCCAGGGGCUGGGCCCAUCACUGGGGCAGGAAACCCCGCAGGAGGAAUGUUGAAGGUGAGGGGGAACGGGCUGACUCAGAGACUCUCUCGGGGAGGGUCUCGCAGAGCAGGUCUUCCUCUGUACUGGGCUCCGGAGCCCUCCAGAACCUUCCAAUCAGAACCAGUGAGGAGACUCGAAUUCUGCGGGCCUGGGGGUGGGAGGCUGGGACCGGCAUUUCGAAGGAGGUCGCUCAUGGGGUCGGAGGACCACACUGAGAGCAGCCAGGGUCGAGUGCGAGGAACCUCCAAUGGUUUCCUUCCGAACCAGCUCAAGGAUUUUGAAAAUCGGCCUUCUCGCACAUUCUGUACCUCCAGGUGUGCAAACCAGUGAUUCGGUCAUCGCCAUCUAUUUAACAAGACACUCCAGCGAGUCUGUCCGGCGGUCAAACACUACACCCCGUUCCUUCUUCUCACUGAACCCGAAUUCCCCGUCAGCUUCCCCAUAGAGCCGUGUCCCGAAGUGCUGCAUGUUCCUGUUGAAGGCUUCCGUGGUCUCUCUUCCUACUUAGCUACCCCCCAAUAGGCACAUCAAACCUUUUUUUAAUGUAAAAUUUCUCACGACCGUAAAGUCUGAAUGUUAAAA
Long non-coding RNA from Myotis lucifugus (little brown bat), 2228 nucleotides. RefSeq lists it as uncharacterized. The transcript is spliced from 2 exons. The record is from RefSeq and is a predicted model, not a curated record. Lineage: Eukaryota; Metazoa; Chordata; Mammalia; Chiroptera; Vespertilionidae.